AUAACAGAAAUACAUUCCCCAUUUU
Molecule: non-coding RNA, 25 nt
Filed under: Rattus norvegicus (Norway rat)
Lineage: Eukaryota; Metazoa; Chordata; Mammalia; Rodentia; Muridae
Source: RNAcentral